UCGGAUAUGGUGCAAAGGAUAGCGCGGGCUCGUGAAAUCUCCCAUGGGCGGGAUGAGAGAGUCAGAUCGAGGUUCGAUUCCUCGUGUCCGUG
Mycena albidolilacea is the source of this 92-nucleotide non-coding RNA. Lineage: Eukaryota; Fungi; Basidiomycota; Agaricomycetes; Agaricales; Mycenaceae. The record is from the annotation of a GenBank genome assembly.